UUUCCGUAGGUGAACCUGCGGAAGGAUCAUUAAUGAGUUGUCAUGGGGUUCGAUGCUGGCAGCAACUAUUUGGAUGCAUGUGCUUGCCCUAACAAUCAUCUUCAUCCAAACACCUGUGCACACUCUUGAGGGUGUCUUGAGUUGGUUGCCGCUCGUGGGUGAUCUGCUCACAUUCCCUUGAACCAUUAUACGCUAUUAACUAUGUUGAACGUGCUCUGUGCCGCAUGGCCAUUAAUAUAAUACAACUUUUAACAACGGAUCUCUUGGCUCUG
This 272-nucleotide unclassified non-coding RNA is filed under the name plant metagenome. RNAcentral's name for it is "partial contains small subunit ribosomal RNA, internal transcribed spacer 1, and 5.8S ribosomal RNA". The record is from RNAcentral.